CACGAAGCUGGAAUCGCUAGUAAUCGCGAAUCAGAAUGUCGCGGUGAAUACGUUCCCGGGUCUUGUACACACCGCCCGUCACACCAUGGGAGUCGGGAAUGCCCGAAGUCAGUGACCCAACCUAUUGGAGGGAGCUGCCGAAGGCAGGUCUGAUAACUGGGGUGAAGUCGUAACAAGGUAAC
Molecule: ribosomal RNA, 182 nt
Filed under: uncultured bacterium
Lineage: Bacteria
Description: partial 16S ribosomal RNA
Rfam family: Bacterial small subunit ribosomal RNA
Source: RNAcentral